AGAGUUAGUUUAAGGUUAGAAUUGUUGACUGUUAAUCAAAAGGUACAUUCUCUUAA
This 56-nucleotide transfer RNA is filed under the name Cloacina communis. RNAcentral describes it as "tRNA-Asn". Lineage: Eukaryota; Metazoa; Nematoda; Chromadorea; Rhabditida; Strongylidae. The record is from RNAcentral.